This 486-nucleotide ribosomal RNA is filed under the name uncultured Psychroserpens sp. RNAcentral's name for it is "bacterial SSU rRNA". It matches the Rfam family "Bacterial small subunit ribosomal RNA", at positions 28 to 505 of the family's 1533-position model. Lineage: Bacteria; Pseudomonadati; Bacteroidota; Flavobacteriia; Flavobacteriales; Flavobacteriaceae. The record is from RNAcentral.
GAUGAACGCUAGCGGCAGGCCUAACACAUGCAAGUCGAACGGUAACAUAGAGAAGCUUGCUUCUUAGAUGACGAGUGGCGCACGGGUGCGUAACGCGUAUACAAUCUACCUUUUACAGGGGGAUAGCCUUUAGAAAUGAAGAUUAAUACCCCAUAGUAUAUAUUAAUGGCAUCGUUAAUAUAUUAAAGUUUCGGCGGUAAAAGAUGAGUAUGCGUUCUAUUAGCUAGAUGGUGUGGUAACGGCACACCAUGGCAACGAUAGAUAGGGGCCCUGAGAGGGGGAUCCCCCACACUGGUACUGAGACACGGACCAGACUCCUACGGGAGGCAGCAGUGAGGAAUAUUGGACAAUGGGCGCAAGCCUGAUCCAGCCAUGCCGCGUGCAGGAAGACUGCCCUAUGGGUUGUAAACUGCUUUUAUACAGGAAGAAACCGCUCUACGUGUAGAGCUCUGACGGUACUGUAAGAAUAAGGAUCGGCUAACUCCG